UAAUGAAACUUGUUUUGGGAAGAAUAAUAAUAAAUACUAUUAAUUAAUUACUCUGGGCUGAGAUUUCCUAGGAACCUUACAAAAAAGGCUCAGAAUGCUGCAAAUGCUGGUAUAAUAUGAAAAUGGCUGAUGGAUUUAAGA
Etheostoma cragini (Arkansas darter) is the source of this 141-nucleotide long non-coding RNA. RefSeq lists it as uncharacterized. The record is from RefSeq and is a predicted model, not a curated record. The transcript is spliced from 3 exons. NCBI's taxonomy places the organism in Eukaryota, Metazoa, Chordata, Actinopteri, Perciformes, Percidae.